RNAcentral lists this ribosomal RNA (279 nucleotides) under uncultured bacterium. RNAcentral describes it as "partial 16S ribosomal RNA". It matches the Rfam family "Bacterial small subunit ribosomal RNA", at positions 506 to 784 of the family's 1533-position model. The record is from RNAcentral.
UGCCAGCAGCCGCGGUAAUACUGAAGGUGCAAGCGUUAAUCGGAAUCACUGGGCGUAAAGCGCUCGUAGGUGGCUUUGUAAGUCAGAUGUGAAAGCCCUGGGCUCAACCUGGGAAUUGCAUUUGAUACUGGCAGACUAGAGUAUGGUAGAGGGAAGUGGAAUUCCGGGUGUAGCGGUGAAAUGCGUAGAUAUCCGGAGGAACAUCAGUGGCGAAGGCGACUUCCUGGACCAAUACUGACGCUGAGGUGCGAAAGCGUGGGGAGCAAACAGGAUUAGAUA